GGUGUAGCUCAGUGGUAGAGCACUUAGUGAACACAACGCCCUAGGUUCAAUCCCUAGCACC
RNAcentral lists this transfer RNA (61 nucleotides) under Cavia porcellus (domestic guinea pig). It matches the Rfam family "tRNA". Rfam says of the family: Transfer RNA (tRNA) molecules are approximately 80 nucleotides in length. Their secondary structure includes four short double-helical elements and three loops (D, anti-codon, and T loops). The record is from Rfam by way of RNAcentral. Lineage: Eukaryota; Metazoa; Chordata; Mammalia; Rodentia; Caviidae.